RNAcentral lists this ribosomal RNA (395 nucleotides) under uncultured soil bacterium. RNAcentral describes it as "bacterial SSU rRNA". It matches the Rfam family "Bacterial small subunit ribosomal RNA", at positions 26 to 409 of the family's 1533-position model. The record is from RNAcentral.
AGAUUGAACGCUGGCGGCAUGCCUUACACAUGCAAGUCGAACGGCAGCAUGACGUGUAGCAAUACACGUUGAUGGCGAGUGGCGAACGGGUGAGUAAUAUAUCGGAACGUGUCCUGUAGCGGGGGAUAACCUAUCGAAAGAUGGACUAAUACCGCAUACGCUCUACGGAGGAAAGCGGGGGUCGCAAGACCUCGCACUAUAGGAGCGGCCGAUAUCGGAUUAGCUAGUUGGCGGGGUAAAAGCCCACAAGGCGACGAUCCGAGCUGGUCUGAGAGGAUGAUCAGCCACACUGGAACUGAGACGACGGUCCAGACUCCGUACGGGAGGCAGCGAGGUGGGGUAAUUUUGGACAAGUGGGCGCGAAGCCUGACUCCAGCCAGUGCCGCGUGAGUGAA